AGCAGCCGCGGUAAUUCCAGCUCCAAUAGCGUAUAUUAAAGUUGCUGCAGUUAAAAAGCUCGUAGUUGAAUUUCGGGACCAUCAUGUCGGUCGUGCCUAGGUACGUACUGGCAUUGUUGGUUUCUACCUUCUGACGAACCAUGAUGUCAUUUAUUUGGUGUCGUGGGAAAUCAGGACUGUUACUUUGAAAAAAUUAGAGUGUUUAAAGCAGGCUCACGCUUGAAUACAUUAGCAUGGAAUAAUGAAAUAGGACGUUUGAUUCUAUUUUGUUGGUUUCUAGGAUCGACGUAAUGAUUAAUAGGGAUAGUUGGGGGCAUUAGUAUUCAAUUGUCAGAGGUGAAAUUCUUGGAUUUAUUGAAGACUAACUACUGCGAAAGCAUUUGCCAAGGAUGUUUUCAUUAAUCAAGAACGAAAGUUAGGGGAUCGAAGACGAUCAGAUACCGUCGUAGUCUUAACCAUAAACUAUGCCGACUAGGGAUCGGAUGAU
This 487-nucleotide ribosomal RNA is filed under the name uncultured Glomus. RNAcentral's name for it is "SSU rRNA". It matches the Rfam family "Eukaryotic small subunit ribosomal RNA", at positions 569 to 1061 of the family's 1831-position model. The record is from RNAcentral. Lineage: Eukaryota; Fungi; Glomeromycota; Glomeromycetes; Glomerales; Glomeraceae.